CCUACGGGAGGCAGCAGUGGGGAAUAUUGCACAAUGGGGGGAACCCUGAUGCAGCAACGCCGCGUGGGUGAAGAAGUACUUCGGUAUGUAAAGCCCUGUCAGCAGGGAAGAAAAUGACGGUACCUGACCAAGAAGCCCCGGCUAACUACGUGCCAGCAGCCGCGGGUAGACGUAGGGGGCAAGCGUUAUCCGGAUUUACUGGGGGGAAAGGGAGGGUAGACGGCAACGCAAGUCUGGAGUGAAAGCCCGUGGCGCAACCCCGGGACUGCUUUGGAAACUGUGUUGCUGGAGUGCAGGAGGGGUAAGCGGAAUUCCUAGUGUAGCGGUGAAAUGCGUAGAUAUUAGGAGGAACACCGGUGGCGAAGGCGGCUUACUGGACUGUAACUGACGUUGAGGCUCGAAGGCGUGGGGAGCAAACAGGAUUAGAUACCCGAGUAGUC
This 440-nucleotide ribosomal RNA is filed under the name uncultured bacterium. Its description in RNAcentral is "partial 16S ribosomal RNA". It matches the Rfam family "Bacterial small subunit ribosomal RNA", at positions 338 to 795 of the family's 1533-position model. The record is from RNAcentral.